This 440-nucleotide ribosomal RNA is filed under the name uncultured bacterium. RNAcentral describes it as "partial 16S ribosomal RNA". It matches the Rfam family "Bacterial small subunit ribosomal RNA", at positions 338 to 795 of the family's 1533-position model. The record is from RNAcentral.
CCUACGGGUGGCUGCAGUGGGGAAUAUUGCACAAUGGGGGAAACCCUGAUGCAGCGACGCCGCGUGAGUGAUGAAGUCUUUCGGUAUGUAAAGCUCUAUCAGCAGGGAAGAUAAUGACGGUACCUGACUAAGAAGCUCCGGCUAAAUACGUGCCAGCAGCCGCGGUAAUACGUAUGGAGCGAGCGUUAUCCGGAUUUACUGGGUGUAAAGGGAGCGCAGACGGCAGGGCAAGUCUGAUGUGAAAGUCCGGGGCUCAACCCCGGGCGUGCAUUGGAAACGGGCCGGCUAGAGUGCAGGAGAGGUGAGUGGAAUUCCUGGUGUAGCGGUGAAAUGCGCAGAUAUUAGGAGGAACACCAGUGGCGAAGGCGGGUUACUGGACUGUAACUGACGUUGAGGCUCGAAAGCGUGGGGAGCAAACAGGAUUAGAUACCCUGGUAGUC